Molecule: long non-coding RNA, 542 nt
Organism: Drosophila pseudoobscura
Lineage: Eukaryota; Metazoa; Arthropoda; Insecta; Diptera; Drosophilidae
Exons: 2
Source: RefSeq, a predicted model, not a curated record
CUGACGCUGGGCUUACCGUGUCAUACACACACAAACACGAGCGCACUCAUUGAAACUGAAAUUGAAAUUGAAGAAUUUCACUGUAAGUCAUGCGCUCAGGCAAAAGAAGCGCGAACAUCACGAGCAUCACGAGCUAAAAGAAACUCUCUCCAUGUGGGCGGCGGCAGGUCCGCCCACACGACACUCCUAAAAGUGCAGAAGCAGCAGGAAUUCGAGCUCCCGCUGGAGAUCUCCAUGAUCUUCAUGGUACUACUCGUUUCGUUUUUGGAAUACAAAUAUUACGUAUACGAUGGCGGGGUGUCAACAAACUUGUAAUAUGGAACAAGUAUGAUUCAAUGAUGUCGGUAUGGUAUCUCCCUGAAUAGAACACUUGCCCUGAGAACGGGACUGAGAGCUGGUAGCUGUUCGAUGCGAUUGGCAAUCAAGUAGCUGUACCUGUACCUGGGACAAGCUGUUGUGCAUACAGCUUAUGCAACCUUAUGAAAUGCAGCCCAGAAGAUUGACUUUGAACGAACGAGAUUAAGCUGCACGAGAAACGCAAA